UGUCUGAUGGGGGAAGCAGCAGCAGCGGCUCGCUCGGCAUCAUGAAGGUCCCUGAAACUCUGCUAUGGGCCGCUCUUCUCGUCCACAAGGUGGUGGGAGAGUACGGCAUGGCCCACAUCAGCGACGAGGGCAGCAGCAAAGGAAAGGAUUACUGCAUAUUCUUCAACUCACAGUGGGCACGUCUACCUCAGGACCUUAAUAAGGCAUCGCGUCUACAGAUCCACGACCUGACAACAUCGGUCCUGUGCUCGGCCUCUGACGUCCCAGAGGAAGGAUUCCCUAAUCGCAUCCCCAUGGUGAUGCGGGGCAACUGCACUUUCUAUGAAAAGGUCCGGCUGGCCCAGAUAAACGGUGCCAAGGGUAUACUCAUCGUCAGCAAGGACCGACUGACACCACCAGCAGGAAACAAGACCCAGUAUGAGGAGAUUGACAUUCCGGUAGCAUUGCUCAGCUACUCUGACAUGCUCGACAUAAGCAAGAUGUUUGGUAAAGGGAGACUUGUGGCCAUGUAUGCGCCCAAUGAGCCGGUGCUGGACUACAACAUGGUGAUCAUCUUCUUGAUGGCUGUAGGAACAGUCGCCAUCGGAGGCUACUGGGCCGGCAGCAGAGACCGCAAGAAACGUUACAUGAAGCACAAGCGGGACGACGGCGCAGAGAAGCAGGACGAAGAGACGGUAGACGUCACCCCGAUCAUGAUCUGCGUGUUCGUGGUCAUGUGCUGCAGCAUGCUGGUGCUCCUCUACUUUUUCUACGACCGCCUGGCCAUCUGGGUGAUCGCCAUCUUCUGUGUGGCCUCCUCAGUCGGCCUCUACAGCUGCCUGUGGCCUUUUGUCAGGAGACUUCCUUUCUGCAAGUGCAGGAUCCCAGAGAACAACCUCCCGUACUUGCACAAGCGGCCACAGAUCCGCAUGUUGCUGCUGUCGGCCUUCUGCAUCGGAGUCAGCAUCACCUGGAUGGUGUUUCGCAAUGAAGACCAGUGGGCGUGGGUGUUACAGGACGCCCUGGGGAUCGCCUUCUGUCUCUACAUGCUCAAAACAGUCAGACUACCCACAUUCAAGGCUUGCACUUUACUACUGUCUGUCCUUUUCGUCUAUGAUGUUUUCUUCGUAUUUAUUACACCCUUAUUUACAAAGAGUGGGGAAAGUAUAAUGGUGGAGGUAGCGGCUGGUCCCUCCGACUCCUCUACUCAUGAAAAGCUCCCCAUGGUGCUCAAAGUGCCGAGGUUAAACUUCUCUCCCCUGGCUCUUUGUGACCGGCCCUUCUCUCUCCUGGGCUUUGGCGAUGUCUUAGUACCAGGUCUGUUGGUGGCGUACUGUCACAGGUUUGACAUUUUAACACAGUCCUCCAGGAUCUACUUUGUGUCCUGUACUAUCGCCUAUGGCAUUGGCCUGCUGAUCACCUUCGUGGCGCUCGCCGUGAUGCAGAUGGGUCAGCCCGCCCUGCUCUACCUGGUGCCUUGCACUCUGCUCACCAGCCUCAGUGUAGCGCUGUGGCGCAGGGAGUUGCCCCAGUUCUGGACUGGAAGUGGAUUUGUGGUGAAUACCAGUUUGAUAUGACUGCCUACUGCCGAAGAACAAAAAGACUUUAAAAAACAGAAAACAAACCCCCCCAAAAAAAGAAACCUAGUGUUAAAUAACAAGCAGAGUAAAGUGAAUUUCAACCGGCCAUAAUGCUCGCACCGAUCAACUGCACGCAAACUGCAGAGCCGCAGACAGAAGGACCCUCGACUAAACCGGAGCCGCAAACAUCAGAAUCUGCCGCUCAGAGCGAAGACACGCCCCAUCACCCGCCUCAGGAAACGCCCCCGCCUGAGAACGACGAAGACAAAGACAAAUCUAACUGAAAGGACUUCCAGUACGGCAUUUUCCACUUCAUUUCAUGUUUUAUUUGUUGUCGAUUUUUUUUUUCUACAUAGUAUUUCAGUCAGUGGACAUUUUAAGUACUUGCACUUGGUGUCAGGGGACGAGCAGAUGAGGUCAGUGGACAAACACACACGCACACACAGUCGAGGCAUUGAAACUGACAAACACACCAAGUAUAAAACCUGCACAGCAGCACCAAGACCCUCCUCUACUACAUAAUGUCCCAUCUGUAUCAGUGGUGGAACGUACAUUUACUCAAGUAGUCUUUUCACUUCAGUUGUAAUAUUUUCUACUUGAGGCAGAUAUUCAACUUUUGACUCCACUAUGUAGUUUAAAACUCUAAAAACAAGAGAGAUCUUAGGUUUGGAACCCUCGGACCAAACACGCUAACUUUCUAUGACGUAGAAAAUAUUUAGCAGCUAUUUUGAUGAUUCAGUUUCAGGGGAUUUAGCUUCACUUUUAAGGAGCUGUCAUGUUGUCCAUCUUUAUAAGUAAUAUAUGAAAUAAAAAGUGAUGGAAGUAGUUAUGUUACACACUGCAAUCGCCACCUGAAGUGAUUCAGGACAUUUUGUUAUAAAAACUGUUGGACACAGUCGGCUUAAAUCUGACGGCUGAAAAUGUUUUUAUGGAAACAUUUUCAAGCACUUCAUCAGAAAUGUACUGAUUAUUAUUAUUAUUGUUUUCUAAAUGAUUUCAGAAUUAAUACUUUGAUUUGUCUUUAUUCCUCUGAUACAUUAUAACCUGUCAGAAUAUAAAGCACAGCAGUGAUGACUGAAGACGCUCAUCACCUGUUUGAACGUGACCCCAUCUUGGUUGUUGACUGAGCCAAAAUGAUUCAAUAUCAUUGUUGAUGUUUUCACGUUUGUUUUUGUAUAUUUUUUGUUUUGCAUGUUAUGAUUUGACCUUUUUAUAAAAAGCAGUGUAUAAUCUGUAAUAUGGGCUUUGUAUGCAUUAUCGGGGGCGCCAAAUGUUGGCCACCGCGAUUUUUAUUCCCCGAGUAGUUCCUCCAACUGUCUUAAGAACUGGUUUUGGCCUUACAGUGUCCGUUAGGAGAGGUGGAAUGUGUAAAAGUUGCUUUAUGACAAACACGGGUGCUGUUCUCUAAACAAUGACGAGCGAGCGACAGGUUGUGUUACCAAUGUUCCUAGUUCAGUUCAAAAGAAGCAUUUGCACAAUAUUUUUUUAAUUUGUGUGCCGACAUAAGUUGUUGGUUUAUGUCUGUAAAUGAUGUUUAAAGAAAUGGAAACCAAGGUAUCAGUAAAUCUAAUAUUCAUCCUGAACACCAGAGCCCUGCAGCCGCUUCACCCUGUACACCGGUGUGUGAGAGUCGAGGGUUAAAGGCCAGAGGUCAGAUGGGAGCACCUUCGUGGUCGUUAGCCCUCGCUGUGUUUUUACAGGAUGAGAUUAUUCACUGGUACAGCUUGUUGUCACCAAGUGGUUUUUAAAGCCUCUGUUGAGGAAAACAUAUAAUAAACAAACAUUGUAUUUGA
Paralichthys olivaceus (Japanese flounder) is the source of this 3352-nucleotide RNA transcript. It is a transcript of the gene named signal peptide peptidase-like 2, with no coding region annotated. The record is from RefSeq and is a predicted model, not a curated record. Lineage: Eukaryota; Metazoa; Chordata; Actinopteri; Pleuronectiformes; Paralichthyidae.